AGGAUUUUAGCUUCUUCACCACGCUUCCACCUCCCUCAUUCACAUUCUCUCUCCAUUAAGAAACCCUAGCCUCCUCCCUGUGAAUCAACCCUACGUAUCUUCAUCCCCAAUUGCGAUUGUAAGCAACAUGUAAGUUUUUUUUUUUCUGAAUCUUCAAUGCUCUAAACCUAACUUUCUUUGAUUGGAGCUUCUUCUAAUCAAGAACCUUAAAUUCUACAUUGGCGAUUCCAAAUGUACGUUUUCACUAUUCGAUUUCAUCUAAUCUUCAACAAUGAUCUCGGGUUUCUGCAUCUUCAACCUUACAUCUCCCUCUCAUUCGUCUCAAAAUUGAAUCCCUUCACCAAGGUUCCACUCUGAUUGAUGUUGCGGUUGUUUGUUGCCGUUGCUGGUGAUUCACAACCGUCGUUGCCGCUCUUUUGGUGUUCAAUGGUGGUCUCUGAUCCAAACCACUCAGGUGUGUUCAGCCUCUCUAGCCAUAGAUAAGUUAGGAUGAAUCUUCCUCUGGUGGUGUCGGGUAAGGUGUACAAUCGAUGAUAGUGGGAUGUUGUGUUGAUAUCGGUGCAAAACAAAAUGAAACGCCACACGGGUUUCGAUCAGAAAUUUGGUGACCCCUACGAGCUGCGUGUUUCAUUUCAAAGUUAAUUGGUGAACGGAAGUAUACUCCUGAGCAUUUAGUAAGGAGAAAAUUAUUGUAGAUGGAAAUUGUGAUUUGGCAAUGAGGCAGCUUGCCAGUAUUGGCUUUAAGAAUUUUAUAGCUAUAAAGUGGACACCUCAUGAUCCAGGAGAUGAAUAUUGCGACGUGGGAAGCGGAAAUGAUGGACAUAGGAUAAGAGUGAGUCCACGUGUCUCCACUGGCCGGAGAGUGGUGGUGAAGAAGUGGCCACAUGGUGAUGCUGAUGCGUUUUUUGAAUGGUGUUAAGAAGCUUCAGAAAAGGAGAAGAUUUGGAAGAAAUGAAUUCAGUUCUUUUAGUAUAUGUGAUGCUCAGAAGAGAUUCAGAAACAUAUGCUUAUAGGUUGUUUAUGCUUUUGUGCUUUAUUUGAAGCUAACUGGUUGUUUAGUUUGCUUAUGGAUAGUUAUGUAAAGGGAUUUGUUUGUGUUUAGAAUAGUAGCAUUAUUGGAUAAAAAUUAAGAAGCAGUUUCAGUUGCCAGUUGAUUGAAAGUUCGGUUCUUUUCAAGGGUAUGAUCACAUCUUAAUUGUACUUUCUACGGUAUGAUCAACAUCUUAAUUGUACUGAACUUAUUUUUAAUGUCUGUUGCAGGCCAAUUCACAUUAUUUCGCUAUCAUUUCACAUGUGUUUUUUCAUUCUAAUAUCAGUUUGUUAUUUUU
RNAcentral lists this long non-coding RNA (1328 nucleotides) under Helianthus annuus (common sunflower). Lineage: Eukaryota; Viridiplantae; Streptophyta; Magnoliopsida; Asterales; Asteraceae. The record is from RNAcentral.